AAAAGCCUUUUUUUUUUUUUUCACGUCACCAACACAUAGACCACAAAAAGCCCUAAUCUUCUUUCUUUCCCAGCCAGUCUCUCAAAAUGCCCUAAUCUUCUUUCUUCCAUUAUUUCUGUUGAGGAGGCCGGAUCCCACCUUGUUGCUUACUAUGCCGACAACACCCAGCCAGUCUCUCCCCUGCUAAGGCUGCUAUCCAUCUCUCUCACACACACUUGGCCAAGAAUCAAGUUCACUUCAAAGCUUGCAACAAACAGUAUUGUGACAUUCCUCUUCAACAAUGAAGCUGGAAGAUUUUUGUUCACCCAACCGGAUCAUUUACCCCAUCUCUGCUUGAAGUUCUAUCUCAAAUCUCUGCCUCGCUUGAAGUUCUCUCUCCUAUCUAUCUCCAUCUCCGCUUGAAGUUCUGGUCCGACAAGGAAAGGAAAGUUGGGCGAUCUCAACCAAUUUUUACCUUGACCAACAUAGAGCUAUUUGUUCAACGCUCUCUUUACUCUCUAGAACCGAGGAUCCAGACUUACCUUCAUUCUUCAGACUGCAGAUGGAUGGUUUGACGCGGACAAAUGAGCUUGUUUUUGUUUUGGCGGCAACAAAUCUUCCUUGGGAACUAGAUGCUGCUAUGCUCCGACGUCUUGAGAAGAUCUAUUUUAACCAGCUUAUUAGGAGUAUAACAAAACCAUUACUUUUGAAGUAAGAUUAGGAGCAUAGUUCUGGUUCUCAAUCUUCAUCUCUGGCAGGUACUUGCUUGGAUUUUGUACAAUGGAUAACGAAGUGGAGGAAGUGUGAAAAAUUGAAAGUCAACUUGCGCCAGGAAUUAAUGAACAAUGUGAAGAUUGAUAUCUAUUUUUGGAAAAUAUUAAAUUUUCUUUUUAAUUUUGGCACGUUGAACAAUUAAUGAUGAAUUGUAAAUUAAUGUCUUACUUUUUUGAUAUAUAUUUAAUAGUGAAUUUAAACAUGAAUUGUUUUUGGUA
Molecule: long non-coding RNA, 971 nt
Organism: Cornus florida
Lineage: Eukaryota; Viridiplantae; Streptophyta; Magnoliopsida; Cornales; Cornaceae
Exons: 5
Source: RefSeq, a predicted model, not a curated record